Molecule: microRNA precursor, 138 nt
Filed under: Ochotona princeps (American pika)
Lineage: Eukaryota; Metazoa; Chordata; Mammalia; Lagomorpha; Ochotonidae
Description: miRNA (ENSOPRG00000023764.1)
Source: RNAcentral
AUCUUGGAAGCUAAGCAGGGUCGGGCCUGGUUAGCACUUGGAUGGGAGAUUCAGUUUGCUGCUGAUGCACCUGGUGAGGCAGUGGAAGAUGAGCCUAGUGCUCGGAUCCCCACGUCCACUUGUGCAGUGCCUGGAUUU